AUCCUGGCUCAGGACGAACGCUGGCGGCGUGCUUAACACAUGCAAGUCGAACGGUAAGGCCCUUUCGGGGGUACACGAGUGGCGAACGGGUGAGUAACACGUGGGUAAUCUGCCCUGCACUUCGGGAUAAGCCUGGGAAACCGGGUCUAAUACCGGAUAUGAGCUCCUGCCGCAUGGUGGGGGUUGGAAAGUUUUUCGGUGCAGGAUGAGUCCGCGGCCUAUCAGCUUGUUGGUGGGGUAAUGGCCUACCAAGGCGACGACGGGUAGCCGGCCUGAGAGGGUGAUCGGCCACACUGGGACUGAGACACGGCCCAGACUCCUACGGGAGGCAGCAGUGGGGAAUAUUGCACAAUGGGCGAAAGCCUGAUGCAGCGACGCCGCGUGGGGGAUGACGGUCUUCGGAUUGUAAACUCCUUUCAGUAGGGACGAAGCGAAAGUGACGGUACCUGCAGAAGAAGCACCGGCCAACUACGUGCCAGCAGCCGCGGUAAUACGUAGGGUGCAAGCGUUGUCCGGAAUUACUGGGCGUAAAGAGCUCGUAGGCGGUUUGUCACGUCGUCUGUGAAAUCCUCCAGCUCAACUGGGGGCGUGCAGGCGAUACGGGCAGACUUGAGUACUACAGGGGAGACUGGA
RNAcentral lists this ribosomal RNA (633 nucleotides) under Dietzia natronolimnaea. Its description in RNAcentral is "bacterial SSU rRNA". It matches the Rfam family "Bacterial small subunit ribosomal RNA", at positions 16 to 665 of the family's 1533-position model. Lineage: Bacteria; Bacillati; Actinomycetota; Actinomycetes; Mycobacteriales; Dietziaceae. The record is from RNAcentral.